AGUUGAGUUGAGUUGAGUUUAUCAACAUCUCCACAUUUCCUAGAACCAUCAAUUAUAAGGUUCCACACUUGUGGCUUUGGUGUCAUUGACUUUUCUAUCAUACAUUGAAGGUACUCAUUAGCCUUAAAAAGAUCUUCCUGAGUACAUAGUUCAUGAAUCAGAACUUUGUAUGAUAUCUGAUCAGGUGCAACUCCCAUUCUCAACAUUACA
Molecule: unclassified non-coding RNA, 210 nt
Filed under: Hevea brasiliensis (rubber tree)
Lineage: Eukaryota; Viridiplantae; Streptophyta; Magnoliopsida; Malpighiales; Euphorbiaceae
Source: RNAcentral